UAAUAGUGUAUAUUAAAGUUGUUGCAGUUAAAAAGCUCGUAGUUGAAUGUUGGUGUCGAACGAGCGGUCAGCUUCGGCUGUACUGCUCUCUCGACUCCUUCCUUCUGUGGACUACGUCGCACUUUACUGUGUGGCGCUAGGACACAGAUCGUUUACUGUGAAAAAAUUAGAGUGUUCAAAGCAGGCCGUACGCUUGAAUACAUUAGCAUGGAAUAAUGGAAUAGGACGUCGGGCCUAUUUUGUUGGUUCUAGGACCGUCGUAAUGAUUAAUAGGGACAGUUGGGGCCGUUUAUAUUCCGUAGUCAGAGGUGAAAUUCUUGGAUUUACGGAAGAUAAACUACUGCGAAAGCAUUCGGCAAGGAUGUUUUCGUUAA
RNAcentral lists this ribosomal RNA (374 nucleotides) under uncultured eukaryote. RNAcentral describes it as "partial 18S ribosomal RNA". It matches the Rfam family "Eukaryotic small subunit ribosomal RNA", at positions 592 to 976 of the family's 1831-position model. The record is from RNAcentral.